UACGUAGGGGGCUAGCGUUGUCCGGAAUCAUUGGGCGUAAAGCGCGUGUAGGCGGUCCGGUAAGUCCGCUGUGAAAGUCGGGGGCUCAACCCUCGGAUGCCGGUGGAUACUGUCGGGCUUGAGUACGGAAGAGGCGAGUGGAAUUCCUGGUGUAGCGGUGAAAUGCGCAGAUAUCAGGAGGAACACCAAUUGCGAAGGCAGCUCGCUGGGACGUGACUGACGCUGAGACGCGAAAGCGUGGGGAGCAAACGAG
RNAcentral lists this ribosomal RNA (253 nucleotides) under uncultured bacterium. RNAcentral describes it as "partial 16S ribosomal RNA". It matches the Rfam family "Bacterial small subunit ribosomal RNA", at positions 524 to 776 of the family's 1533-position model. The record is from RNAcentral.